UGGGGAAUUUUGGACAAUGGGCGAAAGCCUGAUCCAGCAAUGCCGCGUGUGUGAAGAAGGCCUUCGGGUUGUAAAGCACUUUUGUCCGGAAAGAAAUCCUUGGCUCUAAUACAGUCGGGGGAUGACGGUACCGGAAGAAUAAGCACCGGCUAACUACGUGCCAGCAGCCGCGGUAAUACGUAGGGUGCAAGCGUUAAUCGGAAUUACUGGGCGUAAAGCGUGCGCAGGCGGUUUGCUAAGACCGAUGUGAAAUCCCCGGGCUCAACCUGGGAACUGCAUUGGUGACUGGCAGGCUAGAGUAUGGCAGAGGGGGGUAGAAUUCCACGUGUAGCAGUGAAAUGCGUAGAGAUGUGGAGGAAUACCGAUGGCGAAGGCAGCCCCCUGGGCCAAUACUGACGCUCAUGCACGAAAGCGUGGGGAGCAAACAGGAUUAGAUACCCUGGUAGUCCCACGCCCUAAAACGAUGUCAACUAGUUGUUGGGGAUUCAUUUCCUUAGUAACGUAGCUAACGCGUGAAGUUGACCGCCUGGGGAGUACGGUCGCAAGAUUAAAACUCAAAUGAAUUG
Molecule: ribosomal RNA, 566 nt
Filed under: uncultured bacterium
Lineage: Bacteria
Description: partial 16S ribosomal RNA
Rfam family: Bacterial small subunit ribosomal RNA
Source: RNAcentral